RNAcentral lists this long non-coding RNA (771 nucleotides) under Ananas comosus (pineapple). RNAcentral describes it as "long non-coding RNA (ACOM_LNC025549)". Lineage: Eukaryota; Viridiplantae; Streptophyta; Magnoliopsida; Poales; Bromeliaceae. The record is from RNAcentral.
UAUUGCUCUACGUAGUAUUUUAUGUGGGACUACUGUAUUUGUUAUUCAAAAGAUCGAUCUAAUAGAAAAUAAGCACGGAAAUAUAUAUUAAUCUCUUCACGUACUUGCAUGAUGAAUAUGAAAGACACAUGCUCAGAAAUAUUUAUUAACACUUUCACUCACGUAAAUGAUAGAUAUGAAAAGCACGUGGAAUUAAAAAAUAGGAUAGAGGUCGAAGAUAGGGAUUAAAUUCAUUAUAUAUAAUUACGAAAGCUUGAACUCGUUGAAUGCCAACUGUUGGGAUUGAACCCACAACUUCAUAGAAUGAAGAGUUUUAGAAUUAUUUUUGAUAUUUAACGGGAGUCAAAGUCAAAUAAACCCAAUAAACUAUAUAAAUUCCCACUAAAAUUGACUCUAAGUUUUAACAUUUAAUGAAAGAUUUAGAUUUAACUCUGACAUUUAAUAAGAGGUUUAGAAUUGACUCUGACAUUUAACAUUUGAUUCUGACUCUCCGUAAAUGUUAGAGUCAAAUGUGGGGAUUUAUUUGGUUUAUUUGGUUUGCAUGGAGAGCUUCACUAACAUUAAUAUGUAGUAAUACCGACUGUCCCUAGAGCAAGUGGCAAAGGGCUUGGUGGUUGGUACCCGGGACCCAAGUUCGAAUCCUAGUUGAUUUAUAUUUCCAGCUAAGUGUAUUUCUAAAUGAAAUAAACGAAGCGGAUAGCGUGCUACCUAUCUCUAAAAUAAAAAAAAUAAAAAACAUUAAUAUGUAGCAAUCUAUAAAAUAACCAAAAC